CCUACGGGGGGCAGCAGUGGGGAAUAUUGCACAAUGGGGGAAACCCUGAUGCAGCGACGCCGCGUGAGUGAAGAAGUAAUUCGUUACGUAAAGCUCUAUCAGCAGGGAAGAAAUACUGACCUUACGGUCAGCAGACGGUACCUGAGUAAGAAGCCCCGGCUAACUACGUGCCAGCAGCCGCGGUAAUACGUAGGGGGCAAGCGUUAUCCGGAUUUACUGGGUGUAAAGGGAGCGUAGACGGUACGCCAAGUCUGAAGUGAAAUGCCGCAGCUUAACUGCGGAACUGCUUUGGAAACUGGCGGGCUAGAGUGCGGGAGGGGUAAGCGGAAUUCCUAGUGUAGCGGUGAAAUGCGUAGAUAUUAGGAGGAACACCGGUGGCGAAGGCGGCUUACUGGACCGUAACUGACGUUGAGGCUCGAAAGCGUGGGGAGC
Molecule: ribosomal RNA, 432 nt
Filed under: uncultured bacterium
Lineage: Bacteria
Description: bacterial SSU rRNA
Rfam family: Bacterial small subunit ribosomal RNA
Source: RNAcentral